UAGGGAAUCUUCCACAAUGGGCGAAAGCCUGAUGGAGCAACGCCGCGUGUGUGAUGAAGGCUUUCGGGUCGUAAAGCACUGUUGUAAGAGAAGAAUGACAUUGAGAGUAACUGUUCAAUGUGUGACGGUAUCUUACCAGAAAGGAACGGCUAAAUACGUGCCAG
Molecule: ribosomal RNA, 164 nt
Filed under: uncultured bacterium
Lineage: Bacteria
Description: partial 16S rRNA
Rfam family: Bacterial small subunit ribosomal RNA
Source: RNAcentral